GGGGCAGUCUUACAUGCAGUCGAAACGGGGAUGCAUUUUCGAGGUGAUUAGUUUACUAAGAGCCAAGAUGUUGGCAUCCUAUUGGCGGACGGGUGAGUAACGCGUGGGUAACCUGCCUUACACAGGGGGAUAACACUUAGAAAUAGGUGCUAAUACCGCAUAAGCGCACGGGGCUGCAUGGCCCAGUGUGAAAAACUCCGGUGGUAUAAGAUGGACCCGCGUCUGAUUAGCUUGUUGGCGGGGUAACGGCCCACCAAGGCGACGAUCAGUAGCCGGCCUGAGAGGGUGGACGGCCACAUUGGGACUGAGACACGGCCCAAACUCCUACGGGAGGCAGCAGUGGGGAAUAUUGGACAAUGGGGGGAACCCUGAUCCAGCGACGCCGCGUGAGUGAAGAAGUAUUUCGGUAUGUAAAGCUCUAUCAGCAGGGAAGAAAGAAAUGACGGUACCUGACUAAGAAGCCCCGGCUAACUACGUGCCAGCAGCCGCGGUAAUACGUAGGGGGCAAGCGUUAUCCGGAUUUACUGGGUGUAAAGGGAGCGUAGACGGUUACGCAAGUCUGGAGUGAAAGGCGGGGGCCCAACCCCCGGACUGCUUUGGAAACUGUAUAACUGGAGUGCAGGAGAGGUAAGUGGAAUUCCUAGUGUAGCGGUGAAAUGCGUAGAUAUUAGGAGGAACACCAGUGGCGAAGGCGGCUUACUGGACUGUAACUGACGUUGAGGCUCGAAAGCGUGGGGAGCAAACAGGAUUAGAUACCCUGGUAGUCCACGCCGUAAACGAUGAUCACUANGUGUCGGUGGGUAUGGGCCCAUCGGUGCCGCAGCAAACGCAUUAAGUGAUCCACCUGGGG
Molecule: ribosomal RNA, 850 nt
Filed under: uncultured bacterium
Lineage: Bacteria
Description: bacterial SSU rRNA
Rfam family: Bacterial small subunit ribosomal RNA
Source: RNAcentral